Molecule: long non-coding RNA, 1098 nt
Filed under: Takifugu rubripes (torafugu)
Lineage: Eukaryota; Metazoa; Chordata; Actinopteri; Tetraodontiformes; Tetraodontidae
Description: lncRNA (ENSTRUG00000031926.1)
Source: RNAcentral
CUACUUAACCUUUAAUUUUGAAAUGAACAACCUCCAUUACCUUUUUAUAACUUUGCAGGUGGAGUGCUGCAUCUAAAAUUAUAAUCAGAAAUCAAAUUAAAUCAACCCCAACCUUUGCAUUAUGAAGUAAAGAUGAACUCUAGUAAACCUAAUGAAAGGUUAUUGCGUCGGUAAUAUUUGUGAUGAGGACACACGUGACUUUUGUGUAUUUGGUGUUUUCCAGGUGCAGAAGGUGUCCAGUCAGAAUGCAGUGUUUUCUAGUCUGAUCCCAGGGACACGCUUCCAUUUUGUAGUACGAACAGAGAAGGAGUCCUUCACAGACAGUUACCCAGUAACCAUUAACAUCACCGCCGCUCCCAGCCCAGUGGAGGUGUCUCUUCUCAAUAAAACCACAUCAUCCAUAUGUAUUGCUUGGAAUAUGAUCAGGGGUGUGGUGAGCGGAUUUAUCUUGUCAAUCACAAAUGCAACAUCCAGUGAGGAGCUGAUCAUUUCUCAGGAGGGGCACAGGUCGGUCUGUCCUACCUUUAUUCCAUUUUAUAAGAAUUGCUCUGAAGAAUACUUAAAAUGUGUGUGUGUGCACCUGUGUCUGUGUCUGUGUGUUCACAGAAAUUACAGUUUUGAAGGCCUUGCCCCUGGAAGCCAAUACACAAUUAAAGUGAUCAGCAUCAGCGGGGAAAAACGUAGUAAACCUUCUGACAUUAUCCUCCAUACUAGUACGUUGAAUAUGUACUGUGAGUCACAUGUGCGCAUAGAUAAUAGAUAUCCUUGACAACAGACAUCACUGAUAAAGGGAAACAUGAUUUUUCAGCUGUUCCAGUCUCGGCUUAGUUUCUGUCAUACAGGGUUGGUGGCUCAAAACAAUCCCUUGAACGUCUCCAUCAUAAUAUUAAUACCUGUUUGUCAUGUAGUUCCAGAGGUGCCGCAGGAAGUGGUUCUUUCAGGGCAGGUCGUCACAUCUGUGUUUGUCACCUGGAGACCGCCACCAGGAGGAGUGAAGGGGUACAAGGUGAGACACGAUCUACGCAGCUCCGAACGUGUUAAUACAGGAAUUCUAAUAGUAAUUUAGAGACAUUCAUGGAUGCUUCAUAUUUUGUCAUA